Molecule: ribosomal RNA, 1462 nt
Filed under: uncultured organism
Description: SSU rRNA
Rfam family: Bacterial small subunit ribosomal RNA
Source: RNAcentral
GCGGCAGGCCUAACACAUGCAAGUCGAGCGGUAGCACAGAGAGCUUGCUCUCGGGUGACGAGCGGCGGACGGGUGAGUAAUGUCUGGGAAACUGCCUGAUGGAGGGGGAUAACUACUGGAAACGGUAGCUAAUACCGCAUAAUGUCGCAAGACCAAAGUGGGGGACCUUCGGGCCUCAUGCCAUCAGAUGUGCCCAGAUGGGAUUAGCUAGUAGGUGGGGUAAUGGCUCACCUAGGCGACGAUCCCUAGCUGGUCUGAGAGGAUGACCAGCCACACUGGAACUGAGACACGGUCCAGACUCCUACGGGAGGCAGCAGUGGGGAAUAUUGCACAAUGGGCGCAAGCCUGAUGCAGCCAUGCCGCGUGUGUGAAGAAGGCCUUCGGGUUGUAAAGCACUUUCAGCAGGGAGGAAGGCGGUGAGGUUAAUAACCUCAUCGAUUGACGUUACCCGCAGAAGAAGCACCGGCUAACUCCGUGCCAGCAGCCGCGGUAAUACGGAGGGUGCAAGCGUUAAUCGGAAUUACUGGGCGUAAAGCGCACGCAGGCGGUCUGUCAAGUCGGAUGUGAAAUCCCCGGGCUCAACCUGGGAACUGCAUUCGAAACUGGCAGGCUAGAGUCUUGUAGAGGGGGGUAGAAUUCCAGGUGUAGCGGUGAAAUGCGUAGAGAUCUGGAGGAAUACCGGUGGCGAAGGCGGCCCCCUGGACAAAGACUGACGCUCAGGUGCGAAAGCGUGGGGAGCAAACAGGAUUAGAUACCCUGGUAGUCCACGCCGUAAACGAUGUCGAUUUGGAGGUUGUGCCCUUGAGGCGUGGCUUCCGGAGCUAACGCGUUAAAUCGACCGCCUGGGGAGUACGGCCGCAAGGUUAAAACUCAAAUGAAUUGACGGGGGCCCGCACAAGCGGUGGAGCAUGUGGUUUAAUUCGAUGCAACGCGAAGAACCUUACCUGGUCUUGACAUCCACAGAACUUAGCAGAGAUGCUUUGGUGCCUUCGGGAACUGUGAGACAGGUGCUGCAUGGCUGUCGUCAGCUCGUGUUGUGAAAUGUUGGGUUAAGUCCCGCAACGAGCGCAACCCUUAUCCUUUGUUGCCAGCGGUCCGGCCGGGAACUCAAAGGAGACUGCCAGUGAUAAACUGGAGGAAGGUGGGGAUGACGUCAAGUCAUCAUGGCCCUUACGACCAGGGCUACACACGUGCUACAAUGGCAUAUACAAAGAGAAGCGACCUCGCGAGAGCAAGCGGACCUCAUAAAGUAUGUCGUAGUCCGGAUUGGAGUCUGCAACUCGACUCCAUGAAGUCGGAAUCGCUAGUAAUCGUAGAUCAGAAUGCUACGGUGAAUACGUUCCCGGGCCUUGUACACACCGCCCGUCACACCAUGGGAGUGGGUUGCAAAAGAAGUAGGUAGCUUAACCUUCGGGAGGGCGCUUACCACUUUGUGAUUCAUGACUGGGGUGAAGUCAUAACA